GAUGAACGCUGGCGGCGUGCCUAAUACAUGCAAGUCGAGCGAACAGACGAGGAGCUUGCUCCUCUGACGUUAGCGGCGGACGGGUGAGUAACACGUGGAUAACCUACCUAUAAUACUGGGAUAACUUCGGGAAACCGGAGCUAAUACCGGAUAAUAUAUUGAACCGCAUGGUUCAAUAGUGAAAGACGGUUUUGCCGUCACUUAUAGAUGGAUCCGCGCCGCAUUAGCUAGUUGGUAAGGUAACGGCUUACCAAGGCAACGAUGCGUAGCCGACCUGAGAGGGUGAUCGGCCACACUGGAACUGAGACACGGUCCAGACUCCUACGGGAGGCAGCAGUAGGGAAUCUUCGGCAAUGGGCGAAAGCCUGACGGAGCCACGCCGCGUGAGUGAUGAAGGUCUUCGGAUCGUAAAACUCUGUUAUUAGGGAAGAACAAAUGUGUAAGUAAAUAUGCACGUCUUGACGGUACCUAAUCAGAAAGCCACGGCUAACUACGUG
Molecule: ribosomal RNA, 497 nt
Filed under: uncultured bacterium
Lineage: Bacteria
Description: partial 16S ribosomal RNA
Rfam family: Bacterial small subunit ribosomal RNA
Source: RNAcentral